CCUAAAAAGCUUUCAGAUUUCAUUUUGUUAAAAUUUUGCAGUGAAUAAUUAAAAAAAAUAUUGAAUUUUUUGCAUAUAUUUGUGGAAAAAUUGUGAGUUUUAAUAGUGCAGCAUGUAAAAUAGAUUGAUGUUCAAUUAUUCAAUUAGUGCACUUUAUUCUUAUUUUCAUAACCAAAGCUAGCGGAAUGUGGAGUGCGCAGUAUGUCCGAUGUGCAGAAAUAGAUCGUACUCGCGUAAAAAUCCAUGCAUCGUCACAGUAAUUUUACUUAAACGUAAACUGUCGCGCAAUAAGGUACAGCAAUGGUAAAACCUACAUUCAUCGGUUAAUAGCCAGCACUGGGUGUGAACAAGGUGAAAUAAGGUGACUUCGCCGAGCAGAUUAGGAUGGCAACAUAGAAAGAGUAGGCAGGUCCUAGGUAGGUAGGUUCUGGACUGGAUGUAUACGAGUCUAAGCGAUUUAACAAAUGUAGGUAUGUAAAAUGUAGAGACGUAUUGAUAAUAAUAGAAAUAACGUAAUAUAAUUUUGUUACAAUUGUAGGUAAAUGUAUGCCGUUGGUAACAUUUCUUCCUCUAUCAAUUAGUACAUUAAAAAUCUUGUUUUUUGACACACUUGAUUAGACAUUUAAAUAAAACUACUUUUACGGAUUUUAUCGCGGUUAUAUUAAUAUUAUUUAAUCCCGAUGUUUCAGAUCCUUUACAGCACCCAUGGUCACGGGCAGACAGGUCACAGGAUCAAGACGACCAACACCUUAGUCCCUACACUCUCUGCACCGUGAUAAAAUCAUUAAAAGUAGUUUUAUUAAACAUCUUGUUAUUUUGUCCUGGAUACUUCCAACACGAGUAUUAAAGUUUAGAUCUUACAUUAUCUGUA
This is a long non-coding RNA of Helicoverpa zea (corn earworm), 871 nucleotides long. RefSeq lists it as uncharacterized. NCBI's taxonomy places the organism in Eukaryota, Metazoa, Arthropoda, Insecta, Lepidoptera, Noctuidae. The record is from RefSeq and is a predicted model, not a curated record. The transcript has 3 exons.